GGAGGAGGCAAGCGUUGUUCGGAAUUACUGGGCUUAAAGCGUGCGUAGGCGGGAUGGCAGGUGUCGUGUGAAAGCCCUCGGCUCAACCGAGGAAUUGCUCGGCAAACCGCCAUUCUUGAGGCCAGCAGGGGGACCUGGAACUUUGGGUGGAGCGGUGAAAUGCGUAGAUAUCCAAGGGAACGCCGGUGGCGAAAGCGGGGUCCUGGGCUGGUUCUGACGCUGAGGCACGAAAGCGUGGGUAGCAAACAGGAUUAGAUACCCUGGUAGUCCACGCCGUAAACGAUGCGCACUAGGUAUCAGCGCCUCUGACGGGGUUGGUGCCACAGCGAAAGCAUUAAGUGCGCCGCCUGGGAGUACGGCCGCAAGGCUA
RNAcentral lists this ribosomal RNA (370 nucleotides) under uncultured organism. Its description in RNAcentral is "partial 16S ribosomal RNA". It matches the Rfam family "Bacterial small subunit ribosomal RNA", at positions 527 to 896 of the family's 1533-position model. The record is from RNAcentral.